This 546-nucleotide ribosomal RNA is filed under the name uncultured fungus. RNAcentral's name for it is "eukaryotic LSU rRNA". The stretch from base 184 to 336 matches the Rfam family "5.8S ribosomal RNA". The record is from RNAcentral. Lineage: Eukaryota; Fungi.
AAGUCGUAACAAGGUCUCCGUUGGUGAACCAGCGGAGGAUCAUUACUGAGUACUACACUCUCUACCCUUUGUGAACUAUUAUACCUGUUGCUUCGGCGGCGCCGCAAGGGUGCCCGCCGGUCUCAUCAGAAUCUCUGUUUUCGAACCCGACGAUACUUCUGAGUGUUCUUAGCGAACUGUCAGAACUUUUAACAACGGAUCUCUUGGCUCCAGCAUCGAUGAAGAACGCAGCGAAACGCGAUAUGUAAUGUGAAUUGCAGAAUUCAGUGAAUCAUCGAAUCUUUGAACGCACAUGGCGCCUUCCAGUAUCCUGGGAGCAUGCCUGUCCGAGCGUCGUUUCAACCCUCGAGCCCCUGUGGCCCGGCGUUGGGAUCUGCCACGGCAGGCCCCUAAAACCAGUGGCGGACCCGAAGGGCCCUCUCCUUUGCGCAGUAGCAUUCGCCUCGCAUCGGGAGUCCUCGGCGUCCUGCCUCUAAACCCCCACAAGCCCGCUUCGGCGGCACCAAGGUUGACCUCGGAUCAGGUAGGAAUACCCGCUGAACUUAA